UGGGGAAUAUUGCGCAAUGGGGGAAACCCUGACGCAGCAAUACCGCGUGAGUGAAGAAGGUUUUCGGAUCGUAAAACUCUUUUAUUGGGGAAGAAGAAGUGACGGUACCCAAUGAAGAAGUCCCGGCUAACUACGUGCCAGCAGCCGCGGUAAUACGUAGGGGACAAGCGUUGUCCGGAAUCACUGGGCGUAAAGGGCGCGUAGGCGGUUUUAUAAGUCAGAUGUGAAAGGUACCGGCUCAACCGGUGACGUGCAUUUGAAACUGUAAGACUUGAGUACUGGAGAGGCAAGUGGAAUUCCUAGUGUAGCGGUGAAAUGCGUAGAUAUUAGGAGGAACACCGGUGGCGAAGGCGGCUUGCUGGACAGAUACUGACGCUGAGGUGCGAAAGCGUGGGGAGCGAACA
RNAcentral lists this ribosomal RNA (404 nucleotides) under uncultured prokaryote. Its description in RNAcentral is "bacterial SSU rRNA". It matches the Rfam family "Bacterial small subunit ribosomal RNA", at positions 355 to 774 of the family's 1533-position model. The record is from RNAcentral.